This 662-nucleotide long non-coding RNA is filed under the name Androctonus crassicauda. The record is from RNAcentral. Lineage: Eukaryota; Metazoa; Arthropoda; Arachnida; Scorpiones; Buthidae.
GUGCCAUCGUCGGGUUCUGAGGGAAAGCGUUUAUCAUACAAAAUUUCAAACUAUCCAUAUUUUGUAUGAUAAAUGUUUUCCUUCAGAACCUGAUGAUGGCGUUCUGGCCGAGAGCGCUCGUUCGUUUGUGUUCAAGGUUUUGAAGUUGUAAUUGGGGUUUCCCAACUGCAUUUGUGCUGAACUGUUUUGUAUUUUAUAAAUCAGCCAUAAUAAUAUAAUAAUAACAUUAGACAUAGUAGUUAAAUUAGAUGGCUUUUAAAUAUUAUUAUGCAAUAACUGUAAACAAGAUUGAGGCAUGGUAUUAGGAAGGAUAUCAUUGAUGAUAUGGGUCUUUAGAUCUUUUAUCUAUCUGAAGUGUUUCUGCAAAUUUUAAUUCCUCAUGGUAAUGUACUUUAUUUGAAAUCCUUACUUGAGUCCAUUCGAAAUUCUGGGUAGUUUCAAAAAACAUAUCAACAAGACAAUGGAAGGGCUAUGCAUUUUCAAAUCUCUUUUAAGCUCUUCUAAUCUAGCAUUUAAGGGUUUGGAAAUGCUACCAAUAUAUUCUUCUCUCUUACUAAUGAUUGUAUUUACAGCUGGUAUAAAAUAUAUUCCUUAUUGGGCAGAUGGAAGUAAUUUAUCCUUAUCAUUUCUUAAAAGCAUAUUUAUAAAUUUUUUAACCUGUU